Molecule: long non-coding RNA, 561 nt
Filed under: Glycine max (soybean)
Lineage: Eukaryota; Viridiplantae; Streptophyta; Magnoliopsida; Fabales; Fabaceae
Description: long non-coding RNA (GMAX_LNC004438)
Source: RNAcentral
AAAUCUUAUACCAAAGCACGAGCCAAGUCCUUAACUACCAUCGCUUCCCAUGGAUAUCCACCAUAUAUGGAACUAAAAUAUAAUCAAAACUUCAGCAUUGUCACUUUCUACCUCCCCAAUCACUCUCUCCUUUGGUUGUCAUCUCUGCCACAAGAUGAAGUUCGUUCAUCGUGGCCGCCAUUGGACUUACAACAAGAGAGAUUUAAAAGAGCAACAAUCAAGGAAUGCCCACCAACAACAUGGUCUCAAACCUAAUCAUAACCUCCCUAACAACGAAGGCAACGAGAAGAUGUGUUUGCUGAGGAAUACAAAGUUGAACAAUGCGCCAUGCAUCCACCUCGGCAGCGUCAUCAUAAAAUAAAACGACGUUAGUGGUGAUGUCAAUUGGACAAGGGAGAAACCACGCGUUGAGGACUGUAUUUGCUGGGUUAGGAUUUUCAUUUGGCACUCAUAGCGACACUAACAAUAAUUUACUUUUUGAAAAAUACUAAUUAGUAGUGUUGGCUUGUCUAUUGGUAAUAUUUUUUUUAAGGACUUAAUAAUGUGGGUUUGACAUCAACU